Molecule: ribosomal RNA, 889 nt
Filed under: uncultured archaeon
Lineage: Archaea
Description: bacterial SSU rRNA
Rfam family: Archaeal small subunit ribosomal RNA
Source: RNAcentral
UUCCGGUUGAUCCCGCCGGAGGUCACUGCUAUUGGGAUUCGACUAAGCCAUGCGAGUCGCGAGGGUUCGGCCCUCGGCUGACGGCUCAGUAACACGCGGAUAAUCUGCCCUUAGGUGGAGGAUAACCUCGGGAAACUGAGAACAAGACUCCAUAGAUCUAGGAGGCUGGAAUGCACUUAGAUCAAAAACUUCGGUGCCUAAGGAUGAGUCUGCGGACUAUCAGGUAGUAGUCAGGGUAAUGACCUGACCAGCCUAUGACGGAUACGGGUUGUGAGAGCAAUAACCCGGAGAUGAUAUCUGAGACACGAUAUCAGGCCCUACGGGGCGCAGCAGGCGCGAAAACUUCACACUGUGGGAAAGCACGAUGAGGGAAUCCCAAGUGCUGGCUCGUAAGAGUCAGCUGUUUUUCUGUCUAGAAAACAGAGAGAGUAAGAGCUGGGUAAGACGGGUGCCAGCCGCCGCGGUAAUACCUGCAGCUCAAGUGGUGGCCGCUAUUAUUGGGCCUAAAACGUUCGUAGCCGGUCUAGUAAAUGCCUGGGUAAAUCAUACGGCUUAACCGUACGAAUUCCGGGUAGACUGCUGGACUUGGGACUGGGAGAGGCUAGAGGUACUCCUGGGGUAGAGGUGAAAUUCUGUAAUCCUAGGGGGACGACCAGUGGCGAAGGCGUCUAGCUAGAACAGGUCUGACGGUGAGGAACGAAGCCCUGGGGCGCAAACGGGAUUAGAUACCCCGGUAGUCCAGGGUGUAAACGCUGCUUGCUUGAUGUUAGUCGGGCUCCGAGCCCGAUUAGUGUCGGAGAGAAGUUGUUAAGCAAGCUGCCUGGGGAGUACGGCCGCAAGACUGAAACUUAAAGGAAUUGGCGGGGGAGCACCGCAACGGGUGGAGCGU